Molecule: ribosomal RNA, 1349 nt
Filed under: uncultured bacterium
Lineage: Bacteria
Description: bacterial SSU rRNA
Rfam family: Bacterial small subunit ribosomal RNA
Source: RNAcentral
AAUGAACGCUGGCGGCAUGCCUUACACAUGCAAGUCGAACGGUAACGGGUCCUUCGAGAUGACAAAGAGUGGCAAACGGGUGAAUAAUAUAUCCGAACGGGCCCUAUAUGGGGGAAUAACUGCUCAAAAGAGCAUCUAAUACCCCUUACAACCUGAGGGUGAACGGGGGGGAUCGCAAGACCUCUCGCAAUUGGAUGGGCCGAUAUCAGAUUAGCUAGUUGGUGAGGUAAAGGCCCACCAAGGCAACGAUCUGUAGGUGGUCUGAGAGGACGACCCCCCACACUGGGACUGAGACACGGACCAGACUCCUACGGGAGGCAGCAGUGAGGAAUUUUGGACAAUGGGCGCAAGCCUGAUCCAGCCAUGCCGCGUGCAGGACGAAUGCCCUCUGGGUGGAAACUGCCUUUGGCAUGGAAAAAAUCCUCAGCUCUAGUACCCCGGUAAGAUGACUAUACCAGAAAAAUACGCGCCAGUUAACUACAUGCCACCGAGCCACUACAAUACGGUAGGGUGCGAUAUGCCAAUCUUAAUUACUGUAAGGGUCCGUAGGCGGACUUAUAAGUCAGUGGUGAAAGCCUGUCCCCUUAACGAUAGAACUGCCAUUGAUACUGUAAGUCUUGAGUAUAUUUGAGGUAGCUGGAAUAAGUAGUGUAGCGGUGAAAUGCAUAGAUAUUACUUAGAACACCAAUUGCGAAGGCAGGUUACCAAGAUAUAACUGACGCUGAGGGACGAAAGCGUGGGGAGCGAACAGGAUUAGAUACCCUGGUAGUCCACGCCGUAAACGAUGCUAACUCGUUUUUGGGCUUUAGGGUUCAGAGACCAAGCGAAAGUGAUAAGUUAGCCACCUGGGGAGUACGCUCGCAAGAGUGAAACUCAAAGGAAUUGACGGGGGCCCGCACAAGCGGUGGAUUAUGUGGUUUAAUUCGAUGAUACGCGAGGAACCUUACCAAGACUUAAAUGGGAAUUGACAGCUUUAGAAAUAGAGCUUUCUUCGGACAAUUUUCAAGGUGCUGCAUGGUUGUCGUCAGCUCGUGCCGUGAGGUGUUAGGUUAAGUCCUGCAACGAGCGCAACCCCUGUCACUAGUUGCCAUCAUUCAGUUGGGGACUCUAGUGAGACUGCCUACGCAAGUAGAGAGGAAGGUGGGGAUGACGUCAAAUCAUCACGGCCCUUACGUCUUGGGCCACACACGUAAUACAAUGGCCGGUACAGAGGGCAGCUACACAGCGAUGUGAUGCAAAUCUCGAAAGCCGGUCUCAGUUCGGAUUGGAGUCUGCAACUCGACUCUAUGAAGCUGGAAUCGCUAGUAAUCGCGCAUCAGCCAUGGCGCGGUGAAUACGUUCCCGGGCCU